UACGGAGGAUGCAAGCGUUGUUCGGAAUCACUGGGCUUAAAGCGCGUGUAGGCGGGAUAUUUGGUGUCGUGUGAAAUCCCCGGUCUCAACCCGGGAACUGCGCGGCAUACCGGUAUUCUUGAGGCAAGCAGAGGUGACUGGAACGACGGGUGGAGCGGUGAAAUGCGUAGAUAUCCGUUGGAACGCCGGCGACGAAGGUGAGUCACUGGGCUUGUCCUGACGCUGAGACGCGAAAGCGUGGGUAGCAAACAGG
Molecule: ribosomal RNA, 253 nt
Filed under: uncultured bacterium
Lineage: Bacteria
Description: partial 16S ribosomal RNA
Rfam family: Bacterial small subunit ribosomal RNA
Source: RNAcentral